Molecule: transfer RNA, 100 nt
Filed under: Erysiphe necator (grape powdery mildew)
Lineage: Eukaryota; Fungi; Ascomycota; Leotiomycetes; Helotiales; Erysiphaceae
Rfam family: tRNA
About the family: Transfer RNA (tRNA) molecules are approximately 80 nucleotides in length. Their secondary structure includes four short double-helical elements and three loops (D, anti-codon, and T loops). Further hydrogen bonds mediate the characteristic L-shaped molecular structure. tRNAs have two regions of fundamental functional importance: the anti-codon, which is responsible for specific mRNA codon recognition, and the 3' end, to which the tRNAs corresponding amino acid is attached (by aminoacyl-tRNA synthetases). tRNAs cope with the degeneracy of the genetic code in two manners: having more than one tRNA (with a specific anti-codon) for a particular amino acid; and 'wobble' base-pairing, i.e. permitting non-standard base-pairing at the 3rd anti-codon position.
Source: Rfam by way of RNAcentral
GUCGAGUUGCCAGAGUGGUUAAUGGGUAUGACUCGAAUAGUAUGGAUGAAUACGAUAUCAUAUGGCUUCGGCCGCGCAGGUUCAAAUCCUGCACUCGACG